Pan troglodytes (chimpanzee) is the source of this 503-nucleotide long non-coding RNA. RefSeq lists it as uncharacterized. The transcript is spliced from 4 exons. The record is from RefSeq and is a predicted model, not a curated record. NCBI's taxonomy places the organism in Eukaryota, Metazoa, Chordata, Mammalia, Primates, Hominidae.
GAACAGCUGCUUCUUUUUGGUUGCUGGUGGCAGGGAUAUUAUGGAGGUAACAGAGGCAAAGAAGCACCACUCUGACAUGGAAAAUAAUUUCCGUUGUCAGAUUAUUCUUGUUUAACUGGGUUUAACUUUAUAGUAGGGUUAAAUGUGGCCUUUGAAGGUUGGUGAGUAACAACAUCUUUUAAAACAUGGUGAAUUCCAACAAGAAAAGACCAAGGCAACAGACGCAUGAGAGUGAGGUAUUUACCUGAGGGCGAUUGAAGUCACCAGCUUAACAGUAGUGGAAAGACCUUAAGCCAGAGAACUCCAGGUUCAAGAACCACCACCUGCAAACUUGGCAAAUUUGGACAAAUGUCUCUCUGAGUUUCAUUGUCUUCAUCCACAAAUAAAGCAAGAUUACUUCACCUACAGAAUUGCGCAAUUAUGACCAGACCACGAGGGUAUGAAGGAUGAGGAAAAGGGAGCAGUCAUGGAGCUGUUUUGGAGGGAGUCAUAAUUCCUUAGAC